Molecule: long non-coding RNA, 218 nt
Filed under: Nicotiana benthamiana
Lineage: Eukaryota; Viridiplantae; Streptophyta; Magnoliopsida; Solanales; Solanaceae
Description: long non-coding RNA (NBEN_LNC014195)
Source: RNAcentral
AUCCGGAUGAAUGGAAUAUCAUGAAUUGUGGGCCUCCUCUAAAAUCAACUCUCGAAGGCCAUCAAUAUUGGGUACACAUAUACGACCCUGCAUCCCCAAUACUCUGUCCUCACCAAUGGUCACAUCUCUAGAAUGAUUAUGCUGAACCUUGUCCUUGAGGACAAGAAAAUGAGGGUCAUCAUACUGACACUCCCUGAUACGAUCAAAUAAGGAAGACC